CACACGGAAUCGAGAGCUCCAAGUGGGCCA
This 30-nucleotide small nuclear RNA is filed under the name Arabidopsis thaliana (thale cress). Its description in RNAcentral is "snRNA_07562". The record is from RNAcentral. Lineage: Eukaryota; Viridiplantae; Streptophyta; Magnoliopsida; Brassicales; Brassicaceae.